AAUUCGAAGCAGCGCGAAGAACCUUACCAGGUCUUGACAUCCCGAUGCUAUUUCUAGAGAUAGAAAGUUACUUCGGUACAUCGGUGACAGGUGGUGCAUGGUUGUCGUCAGCUCGUGUCGUGAGAUGUUGGGUUAAGUCCCGCAACGAGCGCAACCCCUAUUGUUAGUUGCCAUCAUUCAGUUGGGCACUCUAGCGAGACUGCCGGUAAUAAACCGGAGGAAGGUGGGGAUGACGUCAAAUCAUCAUGCCCCUUAUGACCUGGGCUACACACGUGCUACAAUGGUUGGUACAACGAGUUGCGAGUCAGCGAUGGCAAGCAAAUCUCUAAAAGCCGAUCCCAGUUCGGAUUGCAGGCUGCAACUCGCCUGCAUGAAGUCGGAGUUGCUAGUAAUCGCGGAUCAGAAUGCCGCGGUGAAUGCGUUCCCGGGUCUU
This 433-nucleotide ribosomal RNA is filed under the name uncultured Streptococcus sp. Its description in RNAcentral is "bacterial SSU rRNA". It matches the Rfam family "Bacterial small subunit ribosomal RNA", at positions 948 to 1382 of the family's 1533-position model. The record is from RNAcentral. Lineage: Bacteria; Bacillati; Bacillota; Bacilli; Lactobacillales; Streptococcaceae.